CAGCCGCCGCGGUAAUACGUAGGUCCCGAGCGUCGUCCGGAUUUAUUGGGCGUAAAGCGAGCGCAGGCGGUUAGAUAAGUCUGAAGUUAAAGGCUGUGGCUUAACCAUAGUACGCUUUGGAAACUGUUUAACUUGAGUGCAAGAGGGGAGAGUGGAAUUCCAUGUGUAGCGGUGAAAUGCGUAGAUAUAUGGAGGAACACCGGUGGCGAAAGCGGCUCUCUGGCUUGUAACUGACGCCGAGGCUCGAAAGCGUGGGGAGCAAACAGGAUUAGAUACCCCUGUAGUCCCUGUCUCUUAUACA
RNAcentral lists this ribosomal RNA (301 nucleotides) under uncultured bacterium. Its description in RNAcentral is "partial 16S ribosomal RNA". It matches the Rfam family "Bacterial small subunit ribosomal RNA", at positions 509 to 808 of the family's 1533-position model. The record is from RNAcentral.